This 465-nucleotide ribosomal RNA is filed under the name uncultured bacterium. RNAcentral's name for it is "partial 16S ribosomal RNA". It matches the Rfam family "Bacterial small subunit ribosomal RNA", at positions 338 to 795 of the family's 1533-position model. The record is from RNAcentral.
CCUACGGGAGGCAGCAGUGGGGAAUAUUGCGCAAUGGGCGAAAGCCUGACGCAGCGACGCCGCGUGAGGGAUGAAGGUCUUCGGAUCGUAAACCUCUGUCAGCAGGGAAGAACGGUCACUGUGCUAAUCAGCAGUGAAUUGACGGUACCUGCAAAGGAAGCACCGUCUAACUCCGUGCCAGCAGCCGCGGUAAUACGGAGGGUGCGAGCGUUAAUCGGAAUUACUGGGCGUAAAGCGCUCGUAGGCGGUAUGUCAAGUCAAGGGUGAAAUCCCCGCGCUCAACGUGGGAACUGCCUUUGAAACUGGCAAACUGGAGUGUGUGAGAGGAUAGUGGAAUUCCAGGUGUAGGAGUGAAAUGCGUAGAUAUCUGGAGGAACAUCAGUGGCGAAGGCGACUAUCUGGCACAUAACUGACGCUGAGGAGCGAAAGCGUGGGUAGCAAACAGGAUUAGAUACCCUUGUAGUC